GGAACGGUCUGUGGCUCAGUGGCAGAGCAUCUCCUUUGCAUGCAGAAGGUCACAGGUUUAAUCCCUGGCAUCUCCC
Molecule: transfer RNA, 76 nt
Filed under: Podarcis lilfordi (Lilford's wall lizard)
Lineage: Eukaryota; Metazoa; Chordata; Lepidosauria; Squamata; Lacertidae
Description: tRNA.Ala
Rfam family: tRNA (bases 10-70)
About the family: Transfer RNA (tRNA) molecules are approximately 80 nucleotides in length.
Source: RNAcentral